CCUACGGGGAGCUGCAGUGAGGAAUAUUGGUCAAUGGACGAGAGUCUGAACCAGCCAAGUGGCGUGAAGGAUGACUGCCCUAUGGGUUGUAAACUUCUUUUAUAUGGGAAUAAAAUGUUCCACGUGUGGGAUUUUGUAUGUACCAUAGUAAUUAGGAUCGGCUAACCCCGUGCCAGCAGCCGCGGUAAUCCGGAGUAUCCGUGCGUGAUCCGGAUUGAUUGGGUUUAAAGGGCGCUUAUGUGGAUUGUUAGGACAGUUGUGAAAGUUUGCGGCGCAACCGUAAAAUUGCAGUUGAAACUGGCAGUCUUGAGUACAGUAGAGGUGGGCGGAAUUCGUGGUGUAGCGGUGUAAUGCUUAGAUAUCACGAAGAACUCCGAUUGCGAAGGCAGUUCACUGGACUGCAACUGACACUGAGGCUCGAAAGUGUGGGUAUCAAACAGGAUUAGAUACCCUUGUAGUC
This 460-nucleotide ribosomal RNA is filed under the name uncultured bacterium. RNAcentral describes it as "partial 16S ribosomal RNA". It matches the Rfam family "Bacterial small subunit ribosomal RNA", at positions 338 to 795 of the family's 1533-position model. The record is from RNAcentral.